GCCAGGUGUGGAGGCGCAUACCUAUAAUUCCAGCUACCCAGGAGGCUGAGACAGGAGGAUUGCAAGUUUGAGGCCAGUCUGAACCUUAGAAAGACUCUGUCUCAA
RNAcentral lists this small RNA (105 nucleotides) under Marmota monax (woodchuck). The record is from RNAcentral. Lineage: Eukaryota; Metazoa; Chordata; Mammalia; Rodentia; Sciuridae.